Molecule: long non-coding RNA, 3632 nt
Organism: Anguilla rostrata (American eel)
Lineage: Eukaryota; Metazoa; Chordata; Actinopteri; Anguilliformes; Anguillidae
Exons: 3
Source: RefSeq, a predicted model, not a curated record
GGAGUUUGCAGCUUGCUCAACCCAGCGUCUUCGUUCCUGCCUGAAAUCUAGUUUUCCCAUGCAGGAGGAAAGCAAACAAAUGUUAUGGACAGAAUAUAUAAAACAGAACAGGAAUGGGGAAAGCAUGCUGCGUGGGAACCGAAGGAGGCUGGGCUCAAACAUAGGAUCUCAAGAAGAACCACAGGCUAGGAUUCCAGAUGACCAGGCUUUGGAACAAUUGAAGGUUUUCAACCUGAAUUGCGUCAGUAGUGUGAGCAAUUCAAGUCACCCUGUAUUGAGGUAUUUGCUGUUUGGGGUUACUUCAGUAAAAACCAUGGUGUUUUUGACAAGGAAUUGAGCAUGAAUGGAGUUCAGCUUGAAGAUUUUGGCUGCAGGCAAAUAACAGAGAUACAAUCUCUCUGCCCUGAUCAUAUCUAACAACUGCUGUGUGUGCGUGUUUAUGUGUGUGUCCAAGUGUGAUCUUUGUUUGUGUGUGCGCACAUGCACUCGCGCAUGAGUGUGCGUGCGUACAUGCAUUCUUGAAAGCGUGUGUGUUUGUUACAGGCCUGCUACCUUGUUUUUAGCCUUUGUGCUGAAAUAAGAGAUUGUGCUUCUACUUCUGGCCUUUUGCUUUCAUUCUCUUCACAUGAUGUGUAAAUUGAUGAGUCCUUGUUAAUCAAAUCUUACAAAACAUCAUACUACACGGAGUGGUACGGCAGAGGCUAAAUUUUUCAAUUGUACAAGCCAUCUUUGUGGGUAAAUUAGAUUGAAAUUCUAGCACAAACAGUGUGUUAGUGCACAUGGAGUAAUUGGUUCUCAACACUUUUAGAGGGUAAAUCAAAGUCUUUCAUUCUGCAUUCGUUGGGCACUGAAUUUUAAAGCCCCUGGAAUGUAAGUUUUUUCUGUUUACAUUUCAAGACAGCCAAGGGAUUCAAACAAUGGGGACCACUUAAAGACAAAGGCUGGCCUUAUCUUGGGCUGUUGGACACUUCCUGCUUGGAUAUAGGGGUGAAGCUAUUGGCUCUCAGAAAACACUUAGCUUGACCUGAUUGGACUGGAGAACAUGUUAAUGAGAAAUGUAGAUAGUGUAAACUUUCCACACACUCUGCAGUACAGCAAUGGAUUUAUGUAGCUCUAUUUUCUCACAAAUCUCAAAAUACUGCAACCAUUUUAAAAUGGGCUGCACCCACGUGAUAAACAGGGGCCAGUUCCUACAAGCUGACCACACGAUUGUGAAAGGGAUCUUAAAUUCUUGUUGAAUUAAGACAAUCAUGGCAAAACAUGUAAUUAAAAUUGAGUCUUCUCAGAGCAGUGCUUACUCUUGCCCUCUUGCUGUCUUGGUUUACUCACCGGUAUUUGAGAAUUGUUUACCAACUGAAAUCACUCAAAUUGUAGGCUUAAAUGAGUAAAGACAUUGUUAUGAUACAAGUAUAAACAGACCUGCACAUAUGUAUGAUUAGCUGACUUGACCACCACUGGUUUUCAAGAAAAGCACUCCAAGAGUCCCUGUUAUAUGAUGUGUUGUUCAGUAUAUAUGACACUAUAUGUGAUGAUUGAGAGGGAUUAUUUCAAAGUAGUCAAAGGGAAUGACACUUAAUGUACAGAGCAAUACUUUCUACAUCAGCUCUGAUUGUUACUGAAAAAUAUUCAGCACAUUGUGGUUCUCAGACAUUCUUUGGCCCUCUUUUCUCCCAGUUUGAAAUCCAGGUUAACAAUUUUCAUUCUCCUGUUGCUGGUGACUGUGAUGAGACCCGGUCAUCUUGGAUGACUCAGUCCCUCCCUUCCUGGGUGGUGCUGUGGGGUUUGAUGGCCAGAGUUGGCGCUAGGAUGAUCAGGAUCCAGUACCAGUUUACAUAUACAUCUUAGCUAUUUAGCAGACGUUGUUAUCCAGUUACAAACACAGCUUGCAUCACUUUUUUAUUUUUUCCUUCAUGCAAUCCCUUUAUAUAUAUGGCUAAAUGUCUCACUCAGUAGCAGUGUACCACCUGGAGUGGUCAACCCUACAACCCUUGAUUUGCAAGCCCAGCUCCCUGACUGUUACUGUAUGCUGUACUGCUGCCCCAGGACCAGACUGUGGGGCUCAUCCACACGUUAGAACAGUGCCCUGCGAAUGAGCUACCCACUACUUCCUUUCUUCGAAAUGAACAAAAAAAAACCUCCACAUGAAAUGUUUCUGCCGAUAAAUAUGUACUUGCCUCUUACUGCAUUUGGCUUUCAUGUGAUGUUGAUCUCAGUUACUCUGUUCAAAAUUGAGAGCAACUGUGGCCUGUCGUGUGCUACAAUUUUAAAUAGAAUGGAUAUUUUACCAUGUGAGUUUACCUCUGAUGAUUGCCAGCACUAAAUUUACGUUUUUGCGUUUUAGGGAACAGAACAAAAUAAGGACGUUUGUCAGUUCAGGCCACGGGGAGGUUCUCAUUUCACUUGUCCAUGACUAGGCUAUAUAGUGGAUAUGUAUAGACCGUGCGUCAGAGGGGGUGUGACAUGAGGAGGUGUGUCUCCACACUGUACCAAUGGUAAAACUUGGUAAAAAAAAAAAAAGAAAGUUGAACGCAGUGUAUGUGUGAGUAGUUUUUUUUGUGUAUGUUCAGAUGGUAGUGAAAACAGGAAAUAGACGGUUGGUGUUAGAACAUCUUUGCUCUUAUGACAUGUUGUUGCUGCCGCGUGUCCUUACACGGGUUCAUUCGUUUACGUAAGACGGAAAAAGGAGAGAACCAAUAAGAAUCAAAACGCCGAUGCCCAUUUGCAUUCAAAAUUGGCCCAAGGCCUGAGGAAACCGCUAGAAUGAGUGAAACAUCACAAUGGUGUUGAAGCAUUUCAGCGGUGCAGCGGUGUUCAUAAGAUAAAACAGUGUGGUUUCUUUUUCCUAACGUACAAAUUGUGGUUUAGUGUCUGCUGUGCCAUGGCACACAGGCACAGAAUCUGGCACUGGGAUAUGUUUGUGUGUAUGAGUUGGUUGUCAAAUACACGUGAAUGCUGGAAUAGCUACAGGGUCAUGAUAUUGGGUUUUUUUGGAUGGCUAGCAAUGUGCCUUCAGGAGCUGAAUCUCUUUGCUUCUUGCAUCACACUUACCAUUGUGAAUUGUUUGGAAAGCAGACAAUUCACCCAUCAGUAACAGCAGGUAGUGAACAGUUCCAGCACUGUAGGAUUCCUUUUAAGCUUUCAUUGAUCUGAAGGUAGCCUUAUGGCCUGAAACAUCUUGGGCAGCAAUGGAAUAGUCUUGGUAAAGUGGCAUGCAGGGAAGGUCUGCCUUGAUCCUGCAAGAUAAGGGGGAUAAUGUCCCAGAUAAAGUCAGAUAAGGUUUGCCAAAGAAACCAGUGGUGGACCAGCUCAUUCUGAUUCAAUUCACACACAUUACAGUGCCACAGGGGAUUCGUCUUUCUCAACAAGGCUCAACAAUAGAUAAAGACAAUGCAGUAAAAACCAGCUGUUGCAACAUUCUUAAAUGCAUUAAUGCUCUGACCUGCCAGAAUACUAAUUUUUCAAAGGAAUAUUUCAAUAUUGUGUUUGCCGUUUUAUGCAUCUGAAAUUAGGGAAGUUGAUUUAGACUUUGGCUGCAAUAUUGUUUCAUCACUGCAGGUUUGCAUGGACUGCGGAUGUUGUGUAAAGUUGCAGAAAUAUUCUUUUUUACCAAAUUACCUGUUGGCAUUAUUAAG